AUUUCUCAAUACUAACUCUCUCCUUGACUCGAUUCAAUCUGGCUUUUGCUCCCUCCAUUCUACUGAAACUGCCCUUACCAAACUGACUAACAAUAACAACUUAAUCACUGCUAAAUCUAAAUUUCAUUACUCUCUCUUAAUUCUCCUUGACCUCUCUGCUGCCUUUGAUACUGUCUACCACCCUCUUCUUCUUCAAACCCUCCACAACCUUGGACUUCGGAGAGAGCACUUCCUGUCAGUCCGGCUGGGUACAGAAAACUGAAGCUUCUGUAGGGGAUCUGCUCCACUCGGCAACGCUACAAGAGAGGUAGGAGGCAC
Non-coding RNA from Pelobates cultripes (western spadefoot toad), 318 nucleotides. Lineage: Eukaryota; Metazoa; Chordata; Amphibia; Anura; Pelobatidae. The record is from the annotation of a GenBank genome assembly.